This 254-nucleotide ribosomal RNA is filed under the name uncultured bacterium. RNAcentral describes it as "partial 16S ribosomal RNA". It matches the Rfam family "Bacterial small subunit ribosomal RNA", at positions 524 to 776 of the family's 1533-position model. The record is from RNAcentral.
UACGUAGGGUGCGAGCGUUUAAUCGGAAUUACUGGGCGUAAAGCGUGCGCAGGCGGUUUUGUAAGUCAGAUGUGAAAUCCCCGAGCUCAACUUGGGAACUGCGUUUGAAACUACAAGACUAGAAUAUGUCAGAGGGGGGUAGAAUUCCACGUGUAGCAGUGAAAUGCGUAGAGAUGUGGAGGAAUACCAAUGGCGAAGGCAGCCCCCUGGGAUAAUAUUGACGCUCAUGCACGAAAGCGUGGGGAGCAAACAGG